Molecule: ribosomal RNA, 245 nt
Filed under: uncultured bacterium
Lineage: Bacteria
Description: partial 16S ribosomal RNA
Rfam family: Bacterial small subunit ribosomal RNA
Source: RNAcentral
GACGAACCGUGCGAACGUUGUUCGGAAUCACUGGGCUUAAAGGGCGCGUAGGCGGGCUGCCAAGUCUGGGGUGAAAUCCCACGGCUCAACCGUGGAACUGCCUCGGAUACUGGCGGCCUCGAGGGAGGUAGGGGCGUGCGGAACUGUGGGUGGAGCGGUGAAAUGCGUUGAUAUCCACAGGAACUCCGGUGGCGAAAGCGGCGCGCUGGACCUCUUCUGACGCUGAGGCGCGAAAGCUAGGGGAG